This 385-nucleotide long non-coding RNA is filed under the name Androctonus crassicauda. Lineage: Eukaryota; Metazoa; Arthropoda; Arachnida; Scorpiones; Buthidae. The record is from RNAcentral.
UCCUAAAUGCGGUGUGGUCGUAGAAUUCUGCUGAUUUUGUUGCCCGAUGCGGGACUUAGAAGAAAGAGCCAAAAGAAUAUAUAUAUAAUACUGCUCGAUACGGGUCUCAGCUUGGAGCUGGGUCUUCGUGUUGUUUGCACGUCUUACUCCUACCGAAGUUCUACCACAACUCAUCGAUUUUUCCAAGUCUUCGCUAUUAUAUUUUUGAUUUUUCUCGCCCCCAGUUACAUUCCUUCGGUCUCGGCUUACUACCACCUGCAUGUUACCCGAUUCUAACUAUAACAUCGUAAUUUUCCAACACGUCGAAAGUUUGUUUGGUCUAAUUGGAAACGGAGAAGAACAGAGGACCUCAAACUCAUAAAGAUGACAACUAACAAAUUAAGCC